CCCUCCCGCCGCUGACGUAGCCUUUCCUCAAUGGGCCACGCCACUAUCACUCAAUGUUGAACGCUCAUAGAGAGACAGGAAAAAUGACGCCUCACAUCGACCUCCUAAUCUCGCGAGAGUUUGCAGAGCUCGCUAACUAAUAUGACAAGAUGAGUGGAAGAGGGGAAAGACUCGUCGACCAUAGAGAUACGAAAGCUUAGCAGUUUAUUCAUCUCGAGAACCGACUUCCUGGUCACCUUUUCUGCUUUGUUCAUGAUGUUGAGACAAUGACAGAAUGAUGUGUUGUCGAAGGCUUUCAUGGCCGGAACCACUGGGGUGCCGUGAGUUUUCCGGGCUGUAUGGCCAUGUUCCAGAAGUGCCAGUUAAAAGCUCCCAAAAAAGGGUGUCCCCAAGCAACAACAGCCAGGCUUUGAAGCUGCAAAGCUAUUCAAUGCUAAUCAAGGUGACCAAUUGCAACAUUCACACCUGCCUCAAACAGACAAGAGUUUUAUUCUCCCACCCUGAACGUUCCACAGAUAUAUAAAUCCCACUUGCCUAGUUUCUAACAAACCUCACAACCUCUGGGCAUGCCUGACAUAGAUAUGGGCAAAACGUCAGGAGAAAAAGCUUCUGGAGCAUCGCCAUACAGCCCGGAAAACUCACAGCAACCCAAUGACAGUAUGUCUUUUGUUUAGUGUGUGUGUAUUUUAAAGCAAUUUGAUGUGCAGUAGAGUCUCACUUAUCCAACACUCGCUUAUCCAACGUUCUGGAUUAUCCAACGCUUUUUUGUAGUCAAUGUUUUCAAUAGAUCGUGAUAUUUUGGUGCCAAUUUCGUAAAUACAGUAAUUUCUACAUAGAAUUACUGUGUACUGAACUACUUUUUCUGUCAAAUUUGUGGUAUAACAUGAUGUUUUGGUGCUUAAUUUGUAAAAGCAUAACCUAAUUUGAUAUUUAAUAGGCUAUUCCUUAAUCCCUCCUUAUUAUCCAACAUAUUCACUUAUCCAACGUUCUGCUGGCCCGUUUAUGUUGGAUAAGUGAGACUCUACUGUAUUUAUUUUAUCCGCUUUUGAAAAACUGGAAAGCGUAUCAGUCCAUCGCCAAGCUGAUAUGGGAGGUUUUUUUGACAAUGCAAGGGGGGGGGGGGAGGAAGUAUUUGUAAUGUGCUUUAAUGCAAAGGGUUUUCAGGGACCUGAUUCUAAUGUAUAACUUGCCACCAGCAAACAUCUAGAAUGAUGAAACUGCCAAGAAAGUUUUGAAGGUUGGGAGAAAAAUGCACAUGGCUCAUUAGCUACCCAUUGCCUAAACUGUUGGGGUAAAGAAUAAGAGUGUUACUCAACUGCUAUAUUGCAUAUUCUUUUAGUCAAUCUAGGAGAAAGGUCACAUUUCAUUUGCAGUCGAGUUAACAUGCGGAGUUACUAUAAUUAGAUAUUAAAGUAGCUCCUUUUGGUGCCGGGGCUCAGAAUUUCUUAAAUGCAUAAAGUGUUUCAUCAAGCAUGUCACUUCAGUCCAUAUCAUCAAAAAAUUAUUUCGUGCUCCUACAGUCUCUGCACUCCUUCUGAUGUCAAAAGUAAUUUAUUUAUUGAAUUCUGCAGGCCAUAAAAAUGCAGAAUCCGAAGACAGAAAUAGGUCACAAAAGAUUAUACUAGCUUAUGUAUGCUAUCUGAAUUAUGUGGAUCUACCAUUAAGAACCAGAAGCGAAUACAGUACUCCAUUACAUUCCCACAUGUUUAAUUUAUAGACACUUAAGGCAAAAUUAAGCCCCACUUAGCAUCUAUCCCUUUAGAUGUUAACAUUAGAUUUAAGGUUCAUCCCACAAAAGACAUGGAUCCGGCAUCCCGUUUUCUGAGAUGUCAGUACCAUAACGAUAGUCAGGACAUGCAAGUUGAGGUGUCACAGAGAUAGGCAGGUUUGGACAUAGGCUGGAACUAUUCCUGAAUCAAGGCAUAAAGGACCUUAAGGACAAUCCCAUUACAUGGGAGCAAAUCCUGACCAUAUGGUCAUCCAGAAUGAGCAGGGGUAAAAUAUCAAAGCAGUUUCUGAUAGGUUCCAAAAUGUGCCCAAUAGCCAAUGCAGUUGUCACCAUUCCUGCCAGGGCUGACAACUUGUGUAACAUUGCCUAUAUCACACAUGGCAUAGGGUUUUUCCAGAACCUAUUCUGCCUUGCUGAUGGGAUUUAUGGAGAGCCCACUGCCAGCUCUUUUUAGUCACUGUUGCUGUGUUUUGUACAAGAAGGCUCACCAGUCAUUCUACUUCUUGUCUUGCCCCAUAGUGCAUGGUGGACAAUCUACUUACAAAAACCAAGCAACCAGAAUUUAAAAAGACCAUCCAAAAGAACAACCUGAAUAAAUUACACAUCAAGCUAACCCCAGCAGAAAAGGAGAUCCCUCAAAAACAGUUCUAAUUGAACAGCAAUUGGUCUGAAGUUUUCAAAGCCGAUUUAAAAGAUAAUAAGGAGCCACUGCGUUUGGUGGGGACGAGAGAGAGGGCCUUCUUGGCCGUGGCCCCCCGAUUCUGGAACUCCCUCCCCAGGGAGAUUAGGUUGGCUCCCUCUCUAUCUUCCUUCAGGAAACAACUGAAGACUUGGAUGUUUCGGCAGGCCUUCGGAGAUACAGUCAUUAAUUAAUCAGCCCCAGAGGGUUUUUAAUAAUCCAUCCUGUAUUUAUUAUGGUCUUACCAUUUAUGUGUUUUAAAUGCAAUUUUUUAUAUUGUAUUGUUGUUUUAAUUGAUAUAUUUUACUACUGUUUUAUCUUUUUUAUAUUGUGAUUUGUAUUAUGUUGCUUAUAUUUUGUCCUUAUUUUGUUUGGGCCGCUGUCCCAUGUAAGCCGCCCCGAGUCCCCACAGGGAGAUGGUGGCGGGGUAUAAAGUUUUAUUAUUAUUAUUUUAUUAUUAUUAUUAUAUGUAUAUCCUAUUGGAGGGUGGUUCCUAAGAUGUCAAAGCCAACACUGAAAAGGCCCUACCCCUAAUGCUCACCAAACCCAUAGAUCAUGGCUUCAUGGUUAUGAAUAAGACCACUGGCUCCAGUUUUAAUGCUUGGGCAGUUUUGUAUACAGUCAUUGAAAUAAAACUAGCUGGCUUUGUAUUUAAUCAUUACAAAAUUUAUGGUAGUACAAUGCAAACAUAACUUAUGUUUUAUUGUGAACGUCAUCUACUCUUACCGUCGCAGUUUUGAUUUGAGACACAUAUAUUUAGGAUUUUAAAGACUGUUGGUUACUUGUAUUGUAUCCAAAUAAAUAGGAACAGAUCCGAAAUAUGGUGUUCCCUUACUCACAGCACAAAAAUUUAGGUUGGUGCUAACAGCAGGUCUUUGCCACGUUUCCACUUCUGCAAAUCGAAGCAAAACAUUUAUAGAUUUGGUUUCAUUCCACUUUCAUGCAUGCAAUACAACACCUCUCAUGUGCAAAAAGGCACAUUUGGAUCCACACAUGUCCUUGAAAUAAUUUUUGCUAUUGGUUUUAACCAAAUCAUCCUGGGCAUCCUAAACCUUCUGAGGCAUUUCAAAUAAUUUUGAUUUGCUGUGAUUGUCAUAAGAAUAAUUCAAAACUUGCUAUAUUUUUUGAUUUUUGGUUAUUCCUGAUCUUUUCUGAUAGCUACCAAGGCUUGCUUGUCAUACAGGUCCAGAGCCAAUUGCAGUGACUUUACAUCCAGAUCCUUCAGAACAGAUAAAUACUGAAUAAAUACAAACCAUCUCCCAUAUUCUUAGGAAUAUUCUUUGACAUCUUGUAUGCAAUUUGUGGUGCCUCCCUUUAAACUUGUCCUUCUAGGAAUCAUUUUUAGGACUAAGUUUUAGAAAGUAAGGAUGCUCCUCCUCUCAUUCUAGAGCAGAAAUGUAGUGAGAAGUUUAAAAAGUGAGUCAAGCUAUAACAUACUAAUAUCACUGUUCCCAGUUGUUUCUAGUGGUGUCAGAUCCCAAUCAAGAACCAAGUCAAAAUUAUGUAUCACAUAUAUGUAUGUACCUUCAAGUCACCUGUUGAUUUAUUGCAAUUGCAUGAAUUUCACAGGAUUUUCUUAGGCAAGGAAUUCCAAUUCUUUCCUCCCAAAAUAUAGGUGACUAUACGUGGGAUUCAGUGGUGGUCUCCUAUCCAAGUACUAACUAGGGCUGAACAUGCAUAGUUUCCAAGCUCAGACAGGAUCUGGUACCUUUAGGAUAAUUAGGCCCCAUACCGCAACAAAACACUGCAGAAAUUGAUCUAGUAGUGGGUUCAGAGAGUUAAGAGUUGAAAGAGUAAAGAUGCCACAAAUUGUUGUGUGCCUUCAAGUCACUUCUGACUUAAGGUGAUCCCAUAAUGGGUUUCUUGGCAAGAUUCAUUCAGAUGUGGUUUUUACUUAAACUUUUAGCUCGUAACUGUCUGAAUGCUCCCCCCCAGCUUUGUCUGUGAUAUUCUGAGUGCUUUUAUGUUAGCUGUUCGUUUAAUUCAGAGUUGAGAAAGUCUGAAGGCUGCAUCAAGACCAGAAAUGCUAAAUCCAAGCAACUAGUAGAAUGUAAAUAGUUUUGAUUUCUUAUGCUUUUACAUUUAAAAAAAACCUCUUGUUUUAGGGCUUUGUAACCUGUUUAAAAGAAUACUGCCACUCCUGGGACACUCCAAGUGUGGAAAAAUGCAAUCCUUAUUGUAAGCUCUGUGAAUUACUGGUUUGGUCUGGAAACUCUAAAGGAGAAAAAUACUCCCUUGUUUAGUCCAGAAAGAGCUAGAAACAAAAGGAGCUGUUUGCCAAGGAAAAUAAUUAAGCUCUUGUCAUUUUGAAUUAGGGGGAGUUCUAUUGAGGUAUCCUGGACCCAGCAGAGCAAUUCCUGUCCCACCUGGUAACAUUUUAGUCUUUUGAUAUUGUCAGGACCCAGGCUACAGAGCACCAAUAACCAUACGCAGAGACCAGAAUCUAUCUAAUAUCUUUAUUAAAGGAUUAUAUAAAGUCAAUAAAAGCAAGUGAAGAAUAUAGUUCAGAAGUAGACCUUCCAGGAAAGGUCAAAUAUAGUCCAGGAAAAUAAUGUCCAAUAUGUGAUAUUAGAGUCCAAAGUUGUAAUCCAAUAACCGAAACACACACUUUGCCAAGCAAAGUGUGGGGAAAUGACAGGGUCCUUUAGUCCAAUGGAGCUUGGCAACAAUGCUGGAAGCAAACUAGAUUCUUGGCAAACAAGGCUUGAUACGUGGCAGCAAGAGGCAAGAAACAAGAACAAGGUCCGUGGCGAGGUCCGUGGAAACAAGGAAAGCUUGAUGCUAGAACAAGGUCCGAGAAACAAGGCUUGGAACUUGGUCCUGGAGGCAAGGGACUGGAGUAGCGUAGUCCACACACGAUCUCACUCCACAAGGUGACGAAUUGACUCCGCAAGGAUUUCUUUGCGGGCAAACACCUAUAUAGGAUCUUGUUUUCCCGCCAAGGAACACUUUCCCUGGGGAACAAGAAACGAAACCCAUACUGUGUCCAGAUGCAUGACUCCUUAAAGUUUCCCAAGGGAAACAGACUUAAUCAGCUAAAUGUCUGGCAGCUAUCCUGGCGCUCCUGCGAGUCGCCUCCCGAGUGCCUCUAUCUCGAUUAUAAUAAUCCCGGCGAGAAAAUGGGGGAGAUUUCUGCUCAAGGCUUGUUUGGCUGACUUCUGGUGGGCAAACAUCUUGCAGGUGCAAGGGCUCCAAUUCUGGCUGAAACGGUGGGAAACCCAAGUUUUCCUCUUCAUCUGCCACAAUAGUACUGGGAACGGGACUACAUGGCCCAUGAGUCAUCACAGAUAUCCAAAUAAAAACCCAUUGACUGCAGGUUUGCAGAGGCAAUGAUUGCUCCAGGUAAGUGCAGCAAUAAUCAUGUUAUUAUCUACAGAGUCAAAAGGAGAGCAAGGGCAAAUCUCAACUUCCCAGACCUCCUCAGCUCAUUAAAUGUUAACUGAAGCAGUGUUGAGGGAAUAUAAUCAGAUUUAGACAAAGGAAACAUCCUCUAAAAUUGAAAUUUGCUUGCAUCAUAACACUGCAACAUACACUAGACCUGUUGUGAAUGGGUCUUCUGAGGCUGUGAGUGAUAAUGGUGGGAUCAGGAGAGGAAGGAAGAACCCUCGCGAGGAGGGCUCGCUGGAAGAUUUACACAGGAAGAGAAUCAGGGAGAUUGAUGAGGAGUCUUCCGAAGAGGAUUCAUGUGGGGACUUGGGAGAGGAUCUUGAGGUGGAAAUGGAUGCUGAGGAACGGUGAUGACGGAGGAAGUUGGCAUAGAUUGGGCACGGGCUCCGGAGGAUCUUGGGGAGGAAUCUGGGUCCAUGGAUGCUGUAGAUGCUGGAGAGGCUUGGGUAUCUUCAGAAGCAGAUCCCACAUGGUCUGCCUGGAGAAAUGAGGGUAGUUCCACAGGUGUGGACAGGAUGAUCUUGAUUCUGAUGAGGAGUUUGGGACGCCUGAUCCUAGGGCGUUGGCUGUUUGGAACUCAGAUUCUGAUGAGGAACUUGGGACACCUGAUCCUAGGGCGUUGGAAGUUUAGUCCAAGGGAACCUAAAUAAAUUGGGGAUGUUUGGCCACUAUUCUUUGCGUGUGGCAAGGUGUUUCUGGGCGCCAUUGGGUUUCCUGUACGUGAUUCUGAAGACUGGCUUGGGACUUUGCAACAGAUGUAAGUUUGAUCCGGGUUAUUCUUAAACGGAGGGCUGGAAUUGUGUGGGUUUUCCUGGACUGCACUGUUAUUUCUAUUUUGCAUUAGCUGCUGUUCGCCUUCGUUGUCUUGGCUUUUUGUGCCAUCCUGUGACGUGGACCCUCUUGUGACGACUUCACCCUUUGGACCUUGGACUGAAUUUCGACUUGGCUUAUCUCUUCGCUCCCAAACUCAGCUUGGCAUCGUUCUCAUCUCCGUGGUUGUCUACUGUUGAUGACUGCUGGCUUCGUUCCCGACCCUGACGCUGUUUCCUUGUCCCGACUUCGGACCAGCUCGACUACGUUACAACGCUCCGCUCCUUUAACUCCUGGCUUGGCUUUCGCCUCUGCAGCAGCUUGCUGCUAACUCCUCAGCGUCUUCCAGUUUCGCUUGUUUUUGCCACUCACAGCAAAGAACUUUUAGCUCGGUUUGGGUUUUUGCUUCAGUUUGGAAUCGCUGUUGUACUCCUGGGUUUUGGGGAAGUUUUGGGGGCUUCAUAGCUGUUUACCUUUGUUUGUUUUGCCAUUUUAAGCCUGUUUUGAGUUUUUGGGCUGUGUUCAAGUACUUUAUGUUAAAUCCGGAUUAUAUCUCUGAUUAAUCUGGAUUAUAUGCCAGUUCAUGUUUUUGGCGUUUUUCCUAUUUUGACUGCUUAAUAACACUGAAGAUUAAGUGUUUUAAGUCCCUGAUAAUUUACUGAGCUGUUUUUGAGUUAUUACUUAAAUAAACUAUAUUUUGCUCUCA
Long non-coding RNA from Anolis carolinensis (green anole), 7311 nucleotides. RefSeq lists it as uncharacterized. NCBI's taxonomy places the organism in Eukaryota, Metazoa, Chordata, Lepidosauria, Squamata, Anolidae. The record is from RefSeq and is a predicted model, not a curated record. The transcript is spliced from 2 exons.